Molecule: ribosomal RNA, 465 nt
Filed under: Vreelandella stevensii
Lineage: Bacteria; Pseudomonadati; Pseudomonadota; Gammaproteobacteria; Oceanospirillales; Halomonadaceae
Description: partial 16S ribosomal RNA
Rfam family: Bacterial small subunit ribosomal RNA
Source: RNAcentral
CCUACGGGGGGCAGCAGUGGGGAAUAUUGGACAAUGGGGGGAACCCUGAUCCAGCCAUGCCGCGUGUGUGAAGAAGGCCCUCGGGUUGUAAAGCACUUUCAGUGAGGAAGAACGCCUGGUGGUUAAUACCCAUCAGGAAAGACAUUACUCACAGAAGAAGCACCGGCUAACUCCGUGCCAGCAGCCGCGGUAAUACGGAGGGUGCGAGCGUUAAUCGGAAUUACUGGGCGUAAAGCGCGCGUAGGUGGCUUGAUAAGCCGGUUGUGAAAGCCCCGGGCUCAACCUGGGAACGGCAUCCGGAACUGUCAAGCUAGAGUGCAGGAGAGGAAGGUAGAAUUCCCGGUGUAGCGGUGAAAUGCGUAGAGAUCGGGAGGAAUACCAGUGGCGAAGGCGGCCUUCUGGACUGACACUGACACUGAGGUGCGAAAGCGUGGGUAGCAAACAGGAUUAGAUACCCGGGUAGUC